Molecule: ribosomal RNA, 250 nt
Filed under: uncultured bacterium
Lineage: Bacteria
Description: partial 16S ribosomal RNA
Rfam family: Bacterial small subunit ribosomal RNA
Source: RNAcentral
GACGUAGGAGGCGAGCGUUGUCCGGAGUUACUGGGCGUAAAGCGCGCGCAGGCGGUCUGUCAGGUCAUCUGUGAAAGCACUCGGCUUAACCGGGGUGAUGCGGGUGAAACCGACAGACUUGAGGGCGGUAGAGGGUGGUGGAAUUCCCGGUGUAGUGGUGAAAUGCGUAGAGAUCGGGAGGAACACCCGUAGCGAAGGCGGCCACCUGGGCCGACCCUGACGCUGAGGCGCGAAGGCCAGGGGAGCGAAC